ACCGGUGGCGACCGGCGCACGGGUGAGUAACACGUAUCCAACCUGCCCUUUACUCGGGGAUAGCCUUUCGAAAGAAAGAUUAAUACCCGAUAGCAUAAUGAUUCCGCAUGGUUUCAUUAUUAAAGGAUUCCGGUAAAGGAUGGGGAUGCGUUCCAUUAGGUUGUUGGUGAGGUAACGGCUCACCAAGCCUUCGAUGGAUAGGGGUUCUGAGAGGAAGGUCCCCCACAUUGGAACUGAGACACGGUCCAA
Molecule: ribosomal RNA, 249 nt
Filed under: uncultured bacterium
Lineage: Bacteria
Description: partial 16S ribosomal RNA
Rfam family: Bacterial small subunit ribosomal RNA
Source: RNAcentral